Molecule: transfer RNA, 71 nt
Filed under: Phrynosoma platyrhinos (Desert horned lizard)
Lineage: Eukaryota; Metazoa; Chordata; Lepidosauria; Squamata; Phrynosomatidae
Description: tRNA-OTHER
Rfam family: tRNA
About the family: Transfer RNA (tRNA) molecules are approximately 80 nucleotides in length. Their secondary structure includes four short double-helical elements and three loops (D, anti-codon, and T loops).
Source: RNAcentral
GGCUCAUGAUGCAGUGGUUUGAGUGUUGGAUUGCGACUCUGGAGACCAGGGUUCGAAUCCCUGCUAAGCCA